AUUAAUUUAACUUUUAAAUUGUACUUUUUUACUGUAUGGGUACAAUAUAUCUGCAGUAUUCCAAGCUAAUAAAAGUUGAAAUGACAUCAGACAAAAAUGUUUUAAGUUUUUGCUAUCCAAAGCGGUGGUAUUCAAGACUAAAAGUCGUUCGCCCCCUCCCCUCAUGGAAUUUACCCGAAGACGCUCCUGAGCAAUACUAUUAACCGGUCUCCACUCAGAAUCAUUUUUUGUUGGCAAUGUUCAAAUAAACUCAAUUUCCCUGAAUAUCCUACCUUCCCAACUUCUCAUCUAUAACAGUGGUUCACCCAUCGUACGAAGUGUGUCCGUCUUUUUUCUUAUCAAUCAUUAAUAUUAAAGUUAAUAAUUUCGCUCCCUCCCAUAUUUAAGGUUUAAAAACGUCCCUGUGCCGGUUAGUUAUUCAGUUGGAGACAAACAUUUAUUAAUGAUGAAUUAAAAUAAACUUGAAAUAUUUUUAGUGUCCUAUUUCAUCCUAUAAUAUAUAAUGUCAUGUAACUAUUUUUUUCAAAUCUAUUUUGUUUUAUUAACUUUUGAAAAGACUGAAGACAGUCAUUUCAUAGAGAUUAGUCUUCUGAACAUUUUGACGUAUUAUAUUUUUAUUUCCAUUAAAUUCGUGGUUUUUAAUAAUUUUUUAAAAUUCCGAGAAAAAAUGUGUACAUUUAAUUAUAGCCAUAACAAUAAUAGUCCAUUAGCGAAUGCAAUCACACCCUGCUACGUAAUAAAGUACCAAUAAUUAUUGGUACUUUUUAAUGAUAAAUGAAAAUAAAAAGUUGGAACGUCAUAUUUUUCGGAUGAAUAUAUACCUACUCUAUGAAACUGCUGGUUUCAAAUUUUUGGAUAAUGAUAAAAUAAAAAGUUAGUUUUUUUCAACCAAAACAUAAACAUUUAAUUUAAUUACAAAUAUUUGUAGUCCUUAUCUAUGCGAAUAAUAUAUAUAUAUAAAAAAAAAAAAAAAAAAACCUGAAUUUGAUUAUCUGUAUUAUUUCAGGAGAUGUUGCAACGGGUAUAUCUUCGUGGGAUACCAUGCAGACUACGGCGACGAGAGAAAAAAAAGUCGGUUUUUUUUUCCAGACCGACGGUUACCAGAGAUAACGAAAACCGCAUAUACCUCUACCGCCAGCUAUUAUUAUAUUAUUUAUAUAAGAGCCAUAUGAAUAUUAAACAGCGAUUUAUCUAAUCGAACCGAUCGAUCCGCUACGCAUUUAUUACACUGUAAAAAAUAAUACCGACUAUACGGCUGCAGACAACUACUGCAGUCAGUCAAUUCGAUCGGUAACGUGGUCGUCGGUGAUGGGUGUGUCACACUGCGGCCGCACGACAAAACGAGAAAAAAAAUAACGAAUUUUAUUAGCAAACUGUUAAUACAUAUGAAAAAAAAAAAAAAAAAAAAAAAUUUUUAAAAAUAAUCGUGUAUAAAACGUCAUUGUAAUUCGUCUCGUAUUUUAUAUAAUAACAAGACGAGUCUCUAAAUGCGCAUAAACAAUAUAAUAGUUGUCCGACGGUGCGGCGGCCUGUGUCUCGGUGUUUAUGUAGGAAGGUGUAAUAAGUACGGUUUUUAAGGCGCACUACAAUUAUUGUUAUUAUUAUUAUUAUUUUAGAGACCGGAUUUUUUAGCGCAUAAAACGUGGAGAAUAAAACAACACAUAAGUGUUCUGUAAUAUUAAUUGUGCGAAUCGGAAACAAAAAAAAAGUAAACAAAAAGAGGGACUAUGAGACUUAAAACAAAAACCAGCGCACCUAACGAUUAUUUCGGCGGUUUUGGGUCUAGUUGCUCGCGAAGAGAGUAGUUUUCUGAUUUUCCUAAUAGUUUUCGUAAUAAUUUGAAAAACCGAAAAAAAAAAAAAAAAGACGAAAAAUGAAAACUGAUCAAUUUACGGUGUCACUGUUCUUUUAUUUUAAAUUCGUACGGCCUUUGUUUUCUACCAGAAAUAUCGCUCCAAUAAAAAAAAAAAACGACAAGAGAUUAAAUAUUGAUGUUGCAUUCUAGUUGGUGAGUAAGAAAGCCGUUUUUCAACAGUAGCCCACCCGUGGUACGAAGUAUGUCCGUCUUUAUUUAUUUUAUUAUACAUAUUAUAAAACCGUUGACAAUGUUAUGCGAAGGUAUUGAACUUACAUUUGUGUGUUAUGUAUUUUAUUUUGUAUACAAUUUUUUGUUUCGCCCGAAAAAUGUUGGUGUUUAAAUUUUCGUCGAAUUACCGUAUUACCACACAACGCGUUAGUGCAACGCAAAAUAACAAACGGUAAUAGUAAAAAAACUCAUCGGUAAUAUAACUAAUUUGUUUUAUAUUUUGAGACUUAGAUAAUCAAUGACAUUGAUUUCUAAAAACAAAAAAAAAAAAAAUAUUUACAAUACUGAAUGUAUCCGAAUUGAUAAUGGAUAUAAUAUAUAUAUAUAUUUUUUUUUUUUAUGAAAAUAACGUAUUUGCAAAAAAAACCCACCGUUCCAUUGUCCCAACAGAAAUAUUUAUCAAGGGGAUGCUAAACAAAAAUAAUUAUUAUAAUUAUGGAAUAAAAUGUUACCGGUUUCUACUUUUCUAUGUUUUCUGGUCAUAACCAUGCAUAUAAUUAUUCAGACCAUUAUAGAGUAUAUUACAGUUGCGGUCGAACGUUACUAGACGUUUUCUUUGAGAGCACGGGCUCGAACCCGAUAAAAGUCGCUAUAUUUUUUGUAUAUUUUUUUAUUAUUUUUUUUCAAAUAAAUCCAUACACGUUCGACAAAAUUUCCUAAAAUAUCAAUAUAUUCUUAAGAAUAUAAUAUUAUCGUAUGACCAUUUCAGUUAUUUCAGCCAUCCGUUCAUUCGGUUCGUUGUCAAACGAAUUUAGUCGAGAAAGCUCGACCAAUUAGAACUGUAUAUAGUGUAUACAGUCUCAGUAAAAAAACAUCUUAACGUGGAUAAUUACAGUGUGAAUACAAUUGAGUGAGG
This is a non-coding RNA of Cinara cedri, 2942 nucleotides long. The record is from the annotation of a GenBank genome assembly. NCBI's taxonomy places the organism in Eukaryota, Metazoa, Arthropoda, Insecta, Hemiptera, Aphididae.